UACGUAGGGUGCAAGCGUUGUCCGGAAUUAUUGGGCGUAAAGAGCUCGUAGGCGGUGUGUCGCGUCGGCCGUGAAAACCUGCAGCUUAACUGUGGGCGUGCGGUCGAUACGGGCAUCACUGGAGUUCGGCAGGGGAGACUGGAAUUCCUGGUGUAGCGGUGAAAUGCGUAGAUAUCAAGUGGAACACCAGUGGCGAAGGCGAGUCCCUGGACACUUCCUGACACUGGAGGCACGAAA
RNAcentral lists this ribosomal RNA (237 nucleotides) under uncultured bacterium. RNAcentral's name for it is "partial 16S ribosomal RNA". It matches the Rfam family "Bacterial small subunit ribosomal RNA", at positions 524 to 758 of the family's 1533-position model. The record is from RNAcentral.